AGUCGAGCGGACAGAAGGGAGCUUGCUCCCGGAUGUUAGCGGCGGACGGGUGAGUAACACGUGGGUAACCUGCCUGUAAGACUGGGAUAACUCCGGGAAACCGGAGCUAAUACCGGAUAGUUCCUUGAACCGCAUGGUUCAAGGAUGAAAGACGGUUUCGGCUGUCACUUACAGAUGGACCCGCGGCGCAUUAGCUAGUUGGUGGGGUAAUGGCUCACCAAGGCGACGAUGCGUAGCCGACCUGAGAGGGUGAUCGGCCACACUGGGACUGAGACACGGCCCAGACUCCUACGGGAGGCAGCAGUAGGGAAUCUUCCGCAAUGGACGAAAGUCUGACGGAGCAACGCCGCGUGAGUGAUGAAGGUUUUCGGAUCGUAAAGCUCUGUUGUUAGGGAAGAACAAGUGCGAGAGUAACUGCUCGCACCUUGACGGUACCUAACCAGAAAGCCACGGCUAACUACGUGCCAGCAGCCGCGGUAAUACGUAGGUGGCAAGCGUUGUCCGGAAUUAUUGGGCGUAAAGGGCUCGCAGGCGGUUUCUUAAGUCUGAUGUGAAAGCCCCCGGCUCAACCGGGGAGGGUCAUUGGAAACUGGGAAACUUGAGUGCAGAAGAGGAGAGUGGAAUUCCACGUGUAGCGGUGAAAUGCGUAGAGAUGUGGAGGAACACCAGUGGCGAAGGCGACUCUCUGGUCUGUAACUGACGCUGAGGAGCGAAAGCGUGGGGAGCGAACAGGAUUAGAUACCCUGGUAGUCCACGCCGUAAACGAUGAGUGCUAAGUGUUAGGGGGUUUCCGCCCCUUAGUGCUGCAGCUAACGCAUUA
Molecule: ribosomal RNA, 820 nt
Filed under: Bacillus safensis subsp. safensis
Lineage: Bacteria; Bacillati; Bacillota; Bacilli; Caryophanales; Bacillaceae
Description: bacterial SSU rRNA
Rfam family: Bacterial small subunit ribosomal RNA
Source: RNAcentral